CAACCUUAUCCAGAUCCAACGAGCGAAGCAUUCGAUCCUUCACGAAAACAGAAGACAGUGGAACCGAAGAGGGCAGCGCCGCUGCCGCUCCACACACCGCCGGCGCCGCCGACGCAGUCCGCUCCUAACGCCCUCUUCCGCCUCCUCACUGCAGCAGCAUCCCCACCGCUCACUAACACGUCCCCCCUCCGGCCCUCCCCGAUUUGUCCUCCCGCCGACCCCGUCUCCUCCGACGCCGACGUCGGCAAACACGCAGCCGCCGCCGCCCGUCCCCCAAGUCCGUGACGCCUCUCCUCCCUCGUCCUCUGAUGUAGCAGCCCCUGCGCCCACCAAUUCCCCCUCCUCCCUGUUGUCUCCCCUACCCCAUCUCCUCCGACGCCGAUGUCGGCAAGUACGCCACCGGCGCCGUCCGCUUCCGAUUCCGCGACCCCUGUCUUGCCUUAUCCUCUGACGCAGCAGCCCAGUCGCCCACCACUCCCCCCCCCCCUCCUCCUUCCCGGCGUCUCCUCCUUCCACCCCAUCUCCUCCGACGCCGACGUUGGCAAGUACGCCGCCGGCACGUUCCAUCCCCCGAGCUCGCGACGCCACUCUUGCCGCCGGUACUAUGCCUCUGCUGCUGCCUCUCCUUCCCACCCGUCCCGCCUCCCAAGUUCAAAAUUUCUGUCAAAGUUCAAAUCCGCGCGCCCAGUUCCAACUCUCCAGAAACCACUCCUACAGCCCAAUAUAAAUAAGUGGGCAGGCAUAUGGGACUCACGCUGCUCAAACUACACCCCCAAGAAGUCACACAUUGGUCACGCAAACCUUCAGAUUGAAGGGAGUGUGAGGAAGUGUGAUUCACUUCUCUUCGCCAUCUAAUCUUCUUCGUCAAGGGCAAGGCCAGGCGCUUCGCCUUUCAGCUAUGGAGUGGCGUGGUAUUCCAUGGGAGGUUUUUGUGGCCCAUGUUUCACGCAUGAUGGCCAUACAUAAAAAAAAAACUCAUUCUAGCUUCCCCCGUCUGAAUACUGUAUCAGUAGCAGUUGGAAAAGUACUGAAUGAUACACAUCUUAUAUAACUGACUCCAACAUCCUGGAUUAUUUAUAUCCAAUCUGACUGCAGUUUUUAUGCAUUUCAUAUCUUAUUUCAUCUAAUCAGUGUGCAGUUUGAAUGCAUUAUUUUGUAGCCAAGUCCAACAGAACUUGCUCCAGUGGCAUGCCAAGUGCUCAUACAAGUCUAUUUAUACGCGAGCCAACAGAUAUGACAAGUUCAAGUCACUCGUCUUUGGACGAUGAAGUGACAAACGAAUCAUCUACGAUUUUCCCUUCUAAUGGCAUGCUCAUAUCAACUGAGGGCUUGGAGUGCGGAGAAAGCUCAAAAGGGCGAAAGCGUGCACGUGAAGCAAUAAGAUAUGCUAGCCGUACACCAGAACAAAUCCAAGCAAGGCGAGAACGUGUUAGAGCACGUCGGCAAAAUUUAACACCUGCUGAGAAGAAAAAGAUUAAUGCACAAAGAAGAGAAAAAAGACAACGAAUGGCACAUGAUGAGAGGAAUGCAAGCCAACGACCAUGUAGGCAAAGUUUGACAUUAGAUGAGAGGCAAGAAAUAAAUGUGAGCAGAUGGAUGAUGUGAGAGCUCCAAAGCUAAUAUUGUUGGCAUAAAUGUUUUGAGCAAACAACUACAGAAGAGUAUACUAUGCUGAGAAAUGACUUCAUGGCCUGAUAAAUGCCUAAGGAGCUCUGCCUUUUCAUUAUACUGUACAAAACUGCCGGAAGCAGCAGCCGGAAAUGAUUACAAUAAGGAAGAAAAAGGGAAAAUAGGCUGAAGCCAAAGGCAUCCAGCCAUGCCACCCUCAGGCUACUACUCCCCUGCCUCCUUAAGGAGGCCGAUCGCAUCUCUUGCAAGAAGCAGCACAGCAGAAAUAGAGCUUGACGAGGCCUUGAAAACUCUGUUCUUUCUCUCAAUCCAAAGGUGCCAUGCAAUAUACACUGCCGCCGUGCAUUCAUCGGUAGCAUUGCCUUUCUUCUUCAGGCUUUUAUCCUAUCAAAGGAAAGAAGCAGUUCUGUUGUAGUGGUUCUAAGGCUAGACAUGAUAAUAUGUAUUGGAGAUUGCUGGCCGUGCCGGUGAUUUGGGAGAUCUGGUGAGAGCGGUCAUCACAUUUAUCGCAAUUCAGAGUUAUCGUCUGUGACACUCACAGGCCUUGCAUUUGACGAAGCCACUAUUUGAAGGAUGCUGACACAUGGCACAUCAUCUCUAUUUUUUGCCAUAGUAAUCUUGCUUACUGAGCCCAAUUAUUUUGGUUGUACUUGUAUGUAAUCUCUUAUGUAUGCAAGUUAUGCACCAAGUGCUUGUGAUUGUGUUAUCUUUUCUCAUGUGAGUUUUCAUGACUGGUUACUGAAUGUGAUAUGUUUGUGAGGUGA
This is a long non-coding RNA of Triticum aestivum (bread wheat), 2393 nucleotides long. RefSeq lists it as uncharacterized. The transcript has 6 exons. The record is from RefSeq and is a predicted model, not a curated record. Lineage: Eukaryota; Viridiplantae; Streptophyta; Magnoliopsida; Poales; Poaceae.